This 1529-nucleotide small RNA is filed under the name Pan troglodytes (chimpanzee). RNAcentral describes it as "processed transcript". Lineage: Eukaryota; Metazoa; Chordata; Mammalia; Primates; Hominidae. The record is from RNAcentral.
GAUAGAGAAAGAAAUUGAAGUGAAAAGGGCAUUGUGGUCAUCUGAAGUUAAAAAUGACAGUGACUGAAACUCUGGCCCAGGAAGUGCUGACUUUUAACAUUCUCUGAGAAUGUCCUAAGAUGAUAGGAUGAAUAAAUGGUAUCUCACCGUCCAGGAACAGAGGAUAGAGGGGUUAGUUAUAGGGGACUUCUUACUCCUCCAACCCCUUCCCUGUGGACUGACCACACUUGGUGGUUUAGGUGUAAAUGCAGCCUCUUAGGUGUUUUCCAGCUGUUUUGUUGCCAUGGCAGCGUGUUUGUUAUGCCACUGUUUCCUUCUGGCCUCUCACAGCUCAGUUGCUAGUCUCUGUUUCAGGAUAGGGUAUUAACUAUCUGGGCAGCAGCAGCUAGUAGACUUCUUCCUCCAUCCAAGAGACUAAGCCAUUUAGUUCCCUAGUCUCCCAGCUACUGUAGAUGCUUACCUCUGCCUCUGAUAUUCGAUCCUUGGAAGUCUUAUUUUUCCAAGAGUUUGGUCUUCUCAACUAUUUCCUAUAGAAGCAAAUUUCCUUUCACCAGGAAUGUGAGGUAUAGUCAGGUUCUCCUCUUUAGUUUCCCUCCAUUCAUCUCCUUUGAUACAGCUAGAAAGCUCUCAGCUCUUUCCCCAAGAAUCAUCAAAAGAGGGGAAAUCACAUAAAGACUGGGCAGAUGGUGGGUGCAGAUUUAGCUGAAGAGUUCAGAUCUUUGAGAAGGAGGUGCAUUCAUGACAACCAAGGUUAGAUGAUGUAUUGAGAUGGGCCUAUCCUUUGGGCCUCUUUCAGCAUAAGCUUUCAAGCAUUGCUUUUAGGGGAGGGGCCACUAUGAGUCUUAAGUCAUAAACGGGGAUAAAGGAAGGAAAUAAAGAUUGUAAAAGGAGAGGAGGUUAAUAGAGGUGUAUAUAGAGUAGGAACCCCAACAGUUAAGAUCCCAGGUACCCACCCCUAUGAAAUUUACGCAUGAGCCCUUGAAGGAAGAGGGUGACCAGUGGGACUUAUGAAUGGGAAUAACUCCUCAUGACCACCUGGUAUUUCUCCGCGAGGUUUUUUGCUGUUGGAGACUGACUCCUAGGUGGGAGCAGCUGCUAUGGUCAUUACUCAGCUUCAACCCAAGGACCCAGAUGCUUGGUUAUUGGUGAUCCUGCUUUAAGUCUUAGAUGAAUGAUUUGAUGUCUGUAAAAUUGUACCUUCCUUUUAAACUUAAUUUUUAUCUUACAGCAGCAGCCAGUAAGGAGGAGAAGGGGAGAGAGCUCAUUCGAUAUUAACAACAUUGUCAUCCCAAUGUCUGUUGCUGCAACAACUCGCGUAGAGAAACUGCAAUACAAGGAAAUCCUUACGCCCAGCUGGCGGGAGGUUGAUCUUCAGUCUCUGAAGGGGAGUCCUGAUGAGGAGAAUGAGGAGAUUGAGGACCUAUCCGACGCAGCCUUCGCCGCCCUGCAUGCCAAAUGUGAGGAGAUGGAGAGGGCACGGUGGCUGUGGACCACGAGUGUGCCACCCCAGCGGCGGGGCAGCAGGUCCU